GAUGAACGCUAGCUACAGGCUUAACACAUGCAAGUCGAGGGGCAGCAUGGUCUUAGCUUGCUAAGGCCGAUGGCGACCGGCGCACGGGUGAGUAACACGUAUCCAACCUGCCGUCUACUCUUGGACAGCCUUCUGAAAGGAAGAUUAAUACAAGAUGGCAUCAUGAGUCCGCAUGUUCACAUGAUUAAAGGUAUUCCGGUAGACGAUGGGGAUGCGUUCCAUUAGAUAGUAGGCGGGGUAACGGCCCACCUAGUCUUCGAUGGAUAGGGGUUCUGAGAGGAAGGUCCCCCACAAUGGAACUGAGACACGGUCCAAACACCUACGGGAGGCAGCAGUGAGGAAUAUUGGUCAAUGGGAGCAGGCCUGAACCAGCCAAGUAGCGUGAAGGAUGACUGCCCUAUGGGUUGUAAACUUCUUUUAUAAAGGAAUAAAGUCGGGUAUGUAUACCCGUUUGCAUGUACUUUAUGAAUAAGGAACGGCUAACUCCGUG
RNAcentral lists this ribosomal RNA (490 nucleotides) under uncultured bacterium. Its description in RNAcentral is "partial 16S ribosomal RNA". It matches the Rfam family "Bacterial small subunit ribosomal RNA", at positions 28 to 507 of the family's 1533-position model. The record is from RNAcentral.